Molecule: ribosomal RNA, 482 nt
Filed under: uncultured anaerobic ammonium-oxidizing bacterium
Lineage: Bacteria
Description: bacterial SSU rRNA
Rfam family: Bacterial small subunit ribosomal RNA
Source: RNAcentral
CGAUUUUCGCAAUGCCCGAAAGGGUGACGAAGCGACGCCGCGUGUGGGAAGAAGGCCUUCGGGUUGUAAACCACUGUCGGGAGUUAGGAAAUGCAGGUGCGUUAAUAGCGCACUUGCUUGACUAAGGCUCCAGAGGAAGCCACGGCUAACUCUGUGCCAGCAGCCGCGGUAAUACAGAGGCGGCAAGCGUUGUUCGGAAUUAUUGGGCGUAAAGAGCACGUAGGCGGCCUUGCAAGUCAGUUGUGAAAGCCUUCCGCUUAACGGAAGAACGGCAUCUGAUACUACAGGGCAUGAGUACGGGAGGGGAGAGUGGAACUUCUGGUGGAGCGGUGAAAUGCGUAGAUAUCAGAAGGAACGCCGGCGGCGAAAGCGACUCUCUGGUCCGAAACUGACGCUGAGUGUGCGAAAACUAGGGGAGCAAACGGGAUUAGAUACCCCGGUAGUCCUAGCCGUAAACGAUGGGCACUAAGUAGAGGGGUUUU